UACGAAGGGGGCUAGCGUUGCUCGGAAUUACUGGGCGUAAAGGGAGCGUAGGCGGACAUUUAAGUCAGGGGUGAAAUCCCAGAGCUCAACUCUGGAACUGCCUUUGAUACUGGGUGUCUUGAGUGUGAUAGAGGUAUGUGGAACUCCGAGUGUAGAGGUGAAAUUCGUAGAUAUUAGGAAGAACACCAGUGGCGAAGGCGCUCUACUGGGCCAUUACUGACGCUGAUGGACGAAAGCUAGGGGAGCGAAAGGG
This 253-nucleotide ribosomal RNA is filed under the name uncultured bacterium. RNAcentral's name for it is "partial 16S ribosomal RNA". It matches the Rfam family "Bacterial small subunit ribosomal RNA", at positions 524 to 776 of the family's 1533-position model. The record is from RNAcentral.